GGCUAGAUGGUGUAGUGGUCACAUAUCCUAACGUAUAUGGGAAGACCCGGGUUCGAUCCCCGGUCUGGCCA
This 71-nucleotide transfer RNA is filed under the name Ganoderma leucocontextum. RNAcentral's name for it is "tRNA-Tyr". It matches the Rfam family "tRNA". From Rfam's summary of the family: Transfer RNA (tRNA) molecules are approximately 80 nucleotides in length. Their secondary structure includes four short double-helical elements and three loops (D, anti-codon, and T loops). Lineage: Eukaryota; Fungi; Basidiomycota; Agaricomycetes; Polyporales; Polyporaceae. The record is from RNAcentral.